RNAcentral lists this ribosomal RNA (372 nucleotides) under uncultured bacterium. Its description in RNAcentral is "bacterial SSU rRNA". It matches the Rfam family "Bacterial small subunit ribosomal RNA", at positions 29 to 430 of the family's 1533-position model. The record is from RNAcentral.
AAUGAACGCUGGCGGCAGGCCUAAAACAUGCAAGUCGAGCGCCCUAGCAAUAGGGAGCGGCGCACGGGUGAGUAACACGUGGGAAUAUGCCUUUUGGUACGGAACAACCUCGGGAAACUGAGGCUAAUACCGUAUGGUCCCUUCGGGGUAAAGAUUUAUCGCCAAAAGAGUAGCCCGCGUUGGAUUAGCUAGUUGGUAAGGUAACGGCUUACCAAGGCGACGAUCCAUAGCUGGUCUGAGAGGACGAUCAGCCACACUGGGACUGAGACACGGCCCAGACUCCUACGGGAGGCAGCAGUUAGGAAUAUUGGACAAUGGGCGCAAGCCUGAUCCAGCCAUGCCGCGUGAGUGAUGAAGGCCUCGGUUGUAAAG